This 525-nucleotide ribosomal RNA is filed under the name Melanogrammus aeglefinus (haddock). RNAcentral's name for it is "partial 16S ribosomal RNA". It matches the Rfam family "Bacterial large subunit ribosomal RNA", at positions 1942 to 2621 of the family's 2925-position model. The record is from RNAcentral. Lineage: Eukaryota; Metazoa; Chordata; Actinopteri; Gadiformes; Gadidae.
CUGACCGUGCAAAGGUAGCGUAAUCACUUGUCUUUUAAAUGAAGACCUGUAUGAAUGGCAUCACGAGGGCUUAGCUGUCUCCCAUCUCCAGUCAAUGAAAUUGACUUCCCCGUGCAGAGGCGGGGAUAAAUACAUAAGACGAGAAGACCCUAUGGAGCUUUAGACCUAAAGUAAUUCAUGUUUAAUAUACUAUGAUAACAGUGAAAACUUAGUGAUACUUACUGAAGUGUCUUUGGUUGGGGCGACCGCGGGGUAAAACACAACCCCCAUGUGGACUGGGGAUAUUAUCCCUAAUACUCAGAGCCUCUACUCCAAGUAACAGAAAUUCUGACUUUUCUGAUCCGGUAUAACCGAUCAACGAACCGAGUUACCCUAGGGAUAACAGCGCAAUCCCCUCUCAGAGCCCAUAUCGACGAGGGGGUUUACGACCUCGAUGUUGGAUCAGGACAUCCUAAUGGUGCAGCCGCUAUUAAGGGUUCGUUGUUCAACGAUUAAAGUCCUACGUGAUCUGAGUUCAGACCGGAG